This 2037-nucleotide long non-coding RNA is filed under the name Salmo salar (Atlantic salmon). RNAcentral describes it as "lncRNA (ENSSSAG00000093148.1)". The record is from RNAcentral. Lineage: Eukaryota; Metazoa; Chordata; Actinopteri; Salmoniformes; Salmonidae.
UUUUUUUAAAGGUAUUUGUGACCAACAGAUGCAUAUCUGUAUUCCCAGUCAUGUGAAAUCCAUAGAUUAGGGCCUAAUGAAUUCAUUUAAAUUGACUGACUUUCUUAUAUGAACUGUAACUCAGUAAAAUCUUUGAAAUUGCUGCAUGUCGCGUUUAAAUAUUUGUUUGAUUAUAGUUUGAAGUAAAAUAGUCUGAAGAAAAUGUUUCAGAUGACCUUCAACAAGAUGGCGGCUCGCUGUAUGCCUCAGUAACUCCAACAGUUCUGUUCCACUAAAAAGGCUCAAGUCUAGCUGCUCCGGACGUUUCCCCCUUCCGGGCCGGGCCUGAGAUUGUAAAUGGAUGAUAGCUGCCAUUUGUGAAGGUUACACACAAUGUUCCCUGAAUAAUGCUAGUGCCACCAAUUACUGUGCAGCCAGGUGGUUUGGUGCUCCCUCAGAGGCACAAUGUCCAACCACAAACACCUUGAAUUUAAUAUUCAAACACUGCAGUGCCAAAAGGAUUCAUUAUUAAGAGUUGGCUACAAUGAAAUAUGUCUUGUAAACAACUUUAAUUGUAUUGUCCUAGAUCAACUUAGAAUGUAUUUGAAAGAAUGCACACAAACCAUGGUAAUAUACUAUGAGCAUGGUCUCUUUUCCUAAAAUGACAAAUGCUUGCAAAUAAUGGCUUCAAUUAGGCUACUAUAUCCACAAUUAAACCCACCAGACUUACUUUCAUCUGAACGGUCACCUUUUAAAUGUCCACUUUGUCCUUAAGAGGCCUAUUUGAAAAAAAGUUGAAGCCUCCUUGAAGGACAUUUAAAUGUCUCAUCAUUUACAUUUGGGCAGAAGGCAUUUAUAAAAAUGUUAAAUGAAGCUGCCCUCUGAACCAGACCUGGGACUGCUGAUGGAUCACCUGGAGCUCAGCAGGUGUGUGUGUGUGUGUGUGUGUGUGUGUGUGUGUCUCUGACAAUUUUGGGACUUCCACCUUGGUUUCCAGCUCUGUGAGAUUUGCCUGUUUUAUCUUGGCUGAGGGAUUCAGCUGGCUUCUGGGUGCAUGUUUAGAUUGAGCUGGCUUCAGGAUGCAUGUUUAGAUUGAACUUCCUUCUGGUUGCAUGUUUAGAUUGAGCUGGCAUCUGGGUGCAUGUUUAGAUUGAGCUGCCUUCAGCUGCUUUCUUGGUGAAUGUUUAGGUUGACCUGGCUUCUGGGUCCAUGUUUAGAUUGAGCUGGCUUCUGGGUGCAUGUUUAGACUGAGAUGUCUUCUGGGUGCAUGUUUAUAUUGAGCUGGCUUCUGGGUGCAUGUUUAUAUUGAGAUGACUUCUGGGUGCAUGUUUAGACUGAGAUGUCUUCUGGGUGCAUGUUUAUAUUGAUCUGGCUUCUGGGUGCAUGUUGAGAUUGAGAUGACUUCUGGGUGCAUGUUUAGGUUGAGAUAGCUUCUGGGUGCAUGUUAAGAUUGAGAUGUCUUCUGGGUGUGUGUUUAGAUUGAGAUGUCUUCUGGGUGCAUGUUUAGAUUAAGCUGGCUUCUGGGUGCAUGUUUAGAUUGAUCUGGCUUCUGGGUGAAUGUUUAGAUUGAGAUGACUUCUGGGUGCAUGUUUAGGUUGAUAUGUCUUCUGGGUGCAUGUUUAGGUUGAGAUGUCUUCUGGAUGCAUGUUUAGAUUGAGCUGGCUUCUGGGUGCAUGUUUAUAUUGAGCUGGCUUCUGGGUGCAUGUUUAUAUUGAUCUGGUUUCUGGGUGCAUGUUUAGAUUGAGAUGACUUCUGGGUGCAUGUUUAGAUUGAGAUGACUUCUGGGUGCAUGUUUAGAUUGAGAUGACUUCUGGGUGCAUGUUUAGAUUGAGAUGACUUCUGGGUGCAUGUUUAGAUUGAGAUGACUUCUGGGUGCAUGUUUAGAUUGAGAUGACUUCUGGGUGCAUGUUUAGAUUGAUCUGGCUUCUGGGUGCAUGUUUAGAUUGAGAUGACUUCUGUCCAGAGCAAAUCCAAUGUAGGUCCUCUGUAAAAAAAUGACUCACUCAGAAGGAGAGAAAAAGAGCUGUGAUUCUGGCAACCUCCUCCUCUGCUCCAUCG